This 305-nucleotide ribosomal RNA is filed under the name uncultured euryarchaeote. RNAcentral describes it as "bacterial SSU rRNA". It matches the Rfam family "Archaeal small subunit ribosomal RNA", at positions 567 to 871 of the family's 1478-position model. Lineage: Archaea; Methanobacteriati; Methanobacteriota. The record is from RNAcentral.
GUUGAAUUCUGCAGAGACUGCCAGACUAGGGACCGGGAGAGGUAUGGGGUACUCUCGGGGUAGGGGUAAAAUCCUGUCAUCCUGGGAGGACCACCAGUUGCGAAGGCGCCACACUGGAACGGAUCCGACGGUCAGGGACGAAGCCUAGGGGCACGAACCGGAUUAGAUACCCGGGUAGUCCUAGGAGUAAACGCUGUGAACUUGGUGUCGGGGAUCCUACUUGGGUUCCCGGUGCCGGAGUGAAGAUGUUAAGUUCACUGCCUGGGGAGUACGUUCGCAAGGCUGAAACUCAAAGGAAUUGACGG